CAGUGUUACAGCUUUUAGAAUUUGUCUAGCAGGUUUUCUGGAAAACCUUC
Cercocebus atys (sooty mangabey) is the source of this 50-nucleotide small nuclear RNA. Its record names the gene U7. It matches the Rfam family "U7 small nuclear RNA". Rfam says of the family: Animal histone pre-mRNAs are spliced by a different mechanism than nuclear pre-mRNAs and self-splicing introns. The record is from Ensembl. Lineage: Eukaryota; Metazoa; Chordata; Mammalia; Primates; Cercopithecidae.